CUUUGAAAACAGGGUCCUUUGCAUUGGCUGGGGCUCUCGUGAAUGUUACAUCCCACCCUGAGUAGAGCACACAGCCAGCAACCCAAAGAAGAGGCACUUUGAUUGUUCCCAUUUUACAGAUGAGGAAACUGAGGCACAGAGAAGGGAAGUAACUUGCCCUAGAGCAUUUUCUUCAAAUGUGCCAUUUACCUUCCCAACACAGGACCUUUGCACAUGACAAACUUUCUCCCUGAGGCUCCUCACCUUCUGAAGUUUAAUUUGACCACCAUUUACUGUGUCUUACUGUGUGCCUUGUGCCGAGAAUGCAAAAAUAAAUAAGACAAUAAAUAAGACUCCUUAUGUGAUAGACAACUUUGGCCCAAGGAGAAUGGUGGUAAUAGUGGUAAUAAUAGUAAUGACAACAGCAGCACAAUGGCAGGACCGUUUAAGCAGCACUUAUUAUGUGCUGGGCAUUUAUGAACACAAGGUCAUUAAAAACUCAGUAGAACAACAGUUCUACAAGGUUGUCGCUAUUAUUACUCCCAUUUUAUAAGAGGGGAAGCUGAGGCUCAGAGAAGUGAAGUCAUUUGCUGAGCUGGUAUGUGGCAGAGUUGGAACUUGAGCCCUGGUCUCUGGGUCUCCAAAGCCAUAUUUACAGCCACAGCGUUAUCCCACUAUGCCCAGAAAAGUCCCCCUCUGCCCCAUGUGAAGGAAAGCCACUAUCUGAUUCCAACUCUAAUUUGCUGGGUCCUCAAUUUGAUCUGCAUAGAAGGAGUGAAAAACAAAGAUAACAUUGGUCUAUCCCAUAGGAUGCAGGAUGCGGGUUGCAGCCGGAAGUGCCAGCCCAAGACUGUGGGCAAAGGAGGGCUGGGCCAGGAUGCUGCA
Physeter macrocephalus (sperm whale) is the source of this 864-nucleotide long non-coding RNA. RefSeq lists it as uncharacterized. Lineage: Eukaryota; Metazoa; Chordata; Mammalia; Artiodactyla; Physeteridae. The record is from RefSeq and is a predicted model, not a curated record. The transcript has 3 exons.